Molecule: non-coding RNA, 1271 nt
Organism: Nicotiana tabacum (common tobacco)
Lineage: Eukaryota; Viridiplantae; Streptophyta; Magnoliopsida; Solanales; Solanaceae
Source: RefSeq, a predicted model, not a curated record
ACCGUCCAAAUAUAUAGGAGCGGGUCAGGGUCGUUGGGUAUUUUAAAAUAUACAGGUGGGUUUUAUUUAAUACAAAUAAUACCCGUAGCGGGUUAAGAAAAUGCCACAUGCCGAAGUUAAAAGUCAAAAAAUUGACCAGGUUAGUUCGGUUAGAUAUAGGGGUAAGUUUGAGCCCAAAAACAAAUGUUAGGGGCAUUUGUGGACCAAAAGGUUAACGGAGGGUACUUUUGAGCCAUUUUCACUACGUUAGGGGUAUUGUUGGCCCUUUUCCGUAUUGUUUUUGGUAAGUUUUUGCUUGUUCUGUGAUGAUUGACCACUUUCCAUUGAAGAUAAAGUUUUCUAAUUGCCGGGGUUGGCCUUUAUUAUACUGAAGUUUAUUGCACUUUUGUUUUACUAAUUUGCUUAAUGAGUUACUUUGAAUUACCAUUUGCCUGCAUUUUGUCAAUUUAUGUUGGCUCUAAGAUUUCCAAUAUGCAAGUUAACUCCUCUAACUCAGUAUUUUAGAUAUUUGGUUAUCUAUAUUACUGAAUUAAUGUUAUUAGGCCUUUGAGAAACUCUUAGAGGAAAAAGAGUUGGAAUUCCACAAGUGGGAGGGGGAUGCAGAAGAGUUGUUGCGAGGUGUGCGUGAAAAAUUCAACAUGCUGGCAAAGCAUUGGUCUAGAGAUACCAAGAAUAAGUGUCUGAGAGAAGUAACCAAGGCAUUCCGGUUUAUGGGUCAGAUUGUUCGGCUAAUCAUCCUGUAAAAACCGUUCCAAUCCAAAGAUCAAACUUGGUUUCUCAAUGGCAGCUGGCUCACAAGUGUCAUGGUCGCGAACAACUUGUGCAUAUUUUGCAUCAAAAUGGAAAGAUUCAGACUGAGAGGAUUGUCAUUGGUCACCGUUCAAGCUGCAGAUGGAGGCAGGUGGCUUUACUCUUUUCUUUCCCUGGUCUUCUGAUUUUAACUUGCAGAGUCCUUGGGAGCAUUCUAAACUUGAAGGGGAGAGGUGCUUCCCUAAAAUCUCCUUAUUUUCCAUUAGAAGAGGUCCCUAAGGGAGCCUGGUGGAAUGACUUUUAUGGUAUGUGUAUUCAAAAAGGUGCAACCCCCAUGCGCAGAAUCCAGCCACGAAACCAUUAACAGAAGAGAGCCAGUGUGGUUUGUGUGUUCGAGGAGCUGGAAAUCAAGUUCUAGGACAUAACCAUUUUAGAGGCAUUUAUUUAGCAAAUGUAACAUUUGGGAUUUGAUGUGGAGGAAAGACUAAUGAUAAUUGUGUUAUUCUUUUUUGCACGUGUAA